RNAcentral lists this long non-coding RNA (203 nucleotides) under Carica papaya (papaya). Its description in RNAcentral is "long non-coding RNA (CPAP_LNC001623)". The record is from RNAcentral. Lineage: Eukaryota; Viridiplantae; Streptophyta; Magnoliopsida; Brassicales; Caricaceae.
GGGGUGUGAUUUGAUAAAUGGAUAAGAUGACAACGUCACUAGAUAUCCUGGGAGAUGGUGGACGGACCGGGUUCAUAGGGAACCCUACCGUGAACGUUUUCUCAUACCGGACGGGGUAUGGAGAUUUUAAUAUUUUGGCGCCCAUACCGAAUGGGGUAUGGGGACGGCCCACUUCACCCUCAUACCAGACAGGGUAUUGAGAU